GAGAAAGCAAUUUUCGAUGCUCGUAUAAGCCGAUCGAACGUACUCCCAUUUUUCUAAAGUGAAGCCGAUGCGAUUGAUUCUGUUGUACGUGCUCGAUUGAAAAAAAAAGUAAAAAAAAAGAAAAAAAGAAAAAAAAAGGAACGAACGAAACAAGCAUAGACCGAUCUCAUUUUUUAAUUCGGAGGUUGCCUCGAUCGAUCGACAAAAAAAACUAACGGUUUCAUUCGAUCUUACCAACUGUGCCUAAACAUUAAUCGUGCGAUUUUCUACCUGUCAGAUCGCCUACUUUUUUUUCAAUGCAUCCCAUUGGAAAGGAUAAUAAUCGUGGCAGAGAUGGGAUCAAAUUCUAUAUGCUUCUUUUACGUGUACUUUAAAGUUACGUUUAUGAAAGGACUUACAGUAAGAAAAUAUAUAUCACAGAUCGACUAACCUGAUUCAAAAUAAACGUGAUGACCAAAUCGAUUGGCUACAUGCUGAAUAAAUAUACCAACAGCACCCUGUGUCCCAUGGGAGAGAAUUUGAACCAACAUUCCUACUAGUAUGACGAGCCAACCCCAACCACCUUCUGGAUAGUAAUGUUGCUUUAACGUCAACAGCUGCCUUAAAUCGGCUACCAGCUGUUUCGUACCAUGUUGACCUGGACCAGGUACUGUCUGUUCAUUAGCACUGCAUCCGACACCGCUGUCGUGUACGGACAAUCUUGGGAGUGAUCUGCUACGAUACAGCAAAGAUGUUACUGGCGUCUCUAAUCUUGAAUCAGGACCACGUACUGGAGCGGUAUUAGUUAAGAUAACCUUCGCCGAGGUUUCAUGCCUUUCAUAUGAUCGUAAACAUGAAAUGGAUCGAUGAAUAGUUUAAUGAUCCAAUGGAUCCUGGAGAUACUGAGAAGACACGAAAAGGAGAACGACCGAGCGCGGCACGCUUAGAUCGCGAACUGCCGAUGGCAAAGAGCGUCACGAGUUGAGACUCAGCGCGGCUGCGGCUCUCGACUCCAUAGGCGAACUCGAUCCAACGUUGAUCCAUCUCUCUCUCUCUCUCUCUCUCUCUCUCUCUUUUUCUGUCUCUCUCUGUCUCUUUCUCU
Molecule: long non-coding RNA, 1081 nt
Organism: Vespa mandarinia (Asian giant hornet)
Lineage: Eukaryota; Metazoa; Arthropoda; Insecta; Hymenoptera; Vespidae
Source: RefSeq, a predicted model, not a curated record